RNAcentral lists this ribosomal RNA (406 nucleotides) under uncultured bacterium. RNAcentral describes it as "partial 16S ribosomal RNA". It matches the Rfam family "Bacterial small subunit ribosomal RNA", at positions 28 to 526 of the family's 1533-position model. The record is from RNAcentral.
GACGAACGCUGGCGGCGUGCCUAAUACAUGCAAGUAGAACGCGUUGCGAACGGGUGAGUAACGCGUGGUAACCUGCCUCGUAGCGGGGGAUAACUAUUUGAAACGGUAGCUAAUACCCCUUAGCUCUUGAUGGACCUGCUUUGUAUUAGCUAGUUGGUGAGGUAAAGGCUCACCAAGGCGACGAGACAUAGCCGACCUGAGAGGUUGAUCGGCCACACUGGAACUGAGACACGGUCCAGACUCCUACGGGAGGCAGCAGUGGGGAAGAUUGCACAAUGGGCGCAAGCCUGAGGCAGCCAUGCCGCGUGUAGGAAGAAGGCCUUCGGGUUGUAAAGUACUUUCAGCGGGGAGGCGUUACCCGCAGAAGAAGCACCGGCUAACUCCGUGCCAGCAGCCGCGGUAAUUC